This 398-nucleotide ribosomal RNA is filed under the name Cyclops strenuus. RNAcentral describes it as "partial 12S ribosomal RNA". Lineage: Eukaryota; Metazoa; Arthropoda; Copepoda; Cyclopoida; Cyclopidae. The record is from RNAcentral.
GAUACGACUUAUCUCUAAGUGGAGAGUGACGGAAUAUGAACCUAAUUUAUAACUUUUUCGAUUCUUUCCUACGAUUAGAUAAAUUAAUUUACAGCAUUAGUUUCCCUAAUAAACUAUGUGUCAUUUGUAAAAUUUAAAUUGCAAUUUAUUUUUUUAAACCACACAUAAGUCAAAUAUUAGUAAAUAAAAUUGAGGGUUGUCAGUUUUAGGACCAAAAUUCUCUAAUUUAAAUCACUAAUUUAGUUUAAUUUUAUUACCUUGUAAAAUCUCAUACUCGGGUUCUAUUCCGGUUUUGUAAAACUUAAUAAAUAUUCAACAUACUUCUUUUUUAUUCUUAGAACGGGAUAAAAAUCUGUUUAGGGACAGUUAUAUAAAAUUAUAUUAAAAGUAUAACCGCA